CGUCGGAAGGUAGUGACGAAAAUAACGAUACGGGACUCAUCCGAGGCCCCGUAAUCGGAAUGAGUACAGUUUAAAAUGUUUCCCGAGGAUCUAUUGGAGGGCAAGUCUGGUGCCAGCAGCCGCGGUAAUUCCAGCUCCAAUAGCGUAUAUUAAAGUUGUUGCGGUUAAAAAGCUCGUAGUUGGAUCUCGGCAAGUAGAGGGCGGUAUGCNUUCGUAGCAUUANCUGCCCUAUUACUUGUAGUUUUGCCAGAGGUUCCUGGGUGCUCUUAAUCGAGUGUCUAGGGAUGCUUGGCAGGNUUUACUUUGAAAAAAAUUAGAGUGCUCAAAGCAGGCUAUUACGCUUGAAUAUUCGUGCAUGGAAUAAUAGAAUAGGAAGUUGUUUCUAUUUUGUUGGUUUUCGGAAAUCGACUUAAUGAUUAAUAGGGACAGUCGGGGGCAUUUGUAUUCAAACGACASAGGUGAAAUUCUUGGACCGUUUGAAGACAAACUACUGCGAAAGCAUUUGCCAAGAAUGUUUUCAUUAAUCAAGAACGAAAGUUAGAGGUUCGAAGGCGAUUAGAUACCGCCCUAGUUCUAACCAUAAACGAUGCCAGCUAGCGAUCUGAGGACGUUUUUUUUGUAGACUCCUCAGGAAGCUUCCGGGAAACCAAAGCGUGUGGGUUCCGGGGGAAGUAUGGUUGCAAAGMUGAAACUUAAAGGAAUUGACGGAAGGGCACCACCAGGAGUGGAGCCUGCGGCUUAAUUUGACUCAACACGGGAAAUCUCACCAGGCCCGGACACUGGAAGGAUUGACAGAUUGAGAGCUCUUUCUCGAUUCGGUGGGUGGUGGUGCAUGGCCGUUGUUAGUUGGUGGAGUGAUUUGUCUGGUUAAUUCCGAUAACGAACGAGACUCUGUCCUGCUAAAUAGUGUCAGCCUCUCUUCUGGGCUGACAAUUCUUCUUAGAGGGACUGGCGGCUCCUAGCCGCACGAGAUAGAGCAAUAACAGGUCUGUGAUGCCCUUAGAUGUUCUGGGCAGCACGCGCGCUACACUGAAUAGAUCAACGUGUUUUCCCUUUCUGAGAAGAACGGGUAAACCGCUGAACCCUAUUCGUGGUAGGGAUCGGGGCUUGCAAUUAUUGCCCCGUGAACCUAGGAAUUCACCAGUAGGCGCGAGUCAUAAGCUCGCGUCGAUUACGUCCCUGCCCUUUGUACACACCGCCCGUCGCUACUACCGAUUGAACGUUUUAGUGAGGUCCACGGCACUCGUUGCAGAGCCGGAUUACUCUGCCUAGCUGGUC
Molecule: ribosomal RNA, 1278 nt
Filed under: Scopelogadus bispinosus (twospine bigscale)
Lineage: Eukaryota; Metazoa; Chordata; Actinopteri; Beryciformes; Melamphaidae
Description: partial small subunit ribosomal RNA
Source: RNAcentral